RNAcentral lists this ribosomal RNA (460 nucleotides) under uncultured bacterium. Its description in RNAcentral is "partial 16S ribosomal RNA". It matches the Rfam family "Bacterial small subunit ribosomal RNA", at positions 338 to 795 of the family's 1533-position model. The record is from RNAcentral.
CCUACGGGUGGCAGCAGUGAGGAAUAUUGGUCAAUGGACGAGAGUCUGAACCAGCCAAGUCGCGUGAAGGAUGACUGCUCUAUGGGUUGUAAACUCCUUUUAUAAAGGAAUAAAACGAGGCACGUGUGCCUUUUUGCAUGUACUUUAUGAAUAAGGAACGGGUAACGCCGUGCCAACAGCCGCGGUAAUUCGGAGGGUCCGAGCGUUAUCCGGAUUUAGUGGGUUUAAAGGGAGCGUAGAUGGGUUGGUAAGUCAGUUGUGAAAGUUUGCGGCUCAACCGUAAGAUUGCAAUUGAUACUGGCAGUCUUGAGUACAGGUGAGGUAGGCGGAAUUCGUGGUGUAGCGGUGAAAUGCUUAGAUAUCACGAAGAACCCCGAUUGCGAAGGCAGCUUACUAGACUGUGACUGACAUUGAUGCUCGAAAGUGUGGGUAUCAAACAGGAUUAGAUACCCGGGUAGUC